This 72-nucleotide transfer RNA is filed under the name Capra hircus (goat). RNAcentral's name for it is "tRNA-Ser". It matches the Rfam family "tRNA". From Rfam's summary of the family: Transfer RNA (tRNA) molecules are approximately 80 nucleotides in length. Their secondary structure includes four short double-helical elements and three loops (D, anti-codon, and T loops). Further hydrogen bonds mediate the characteristic L-shaped molecular structure. tRNAs have two regions of fundamental functional importance: the anti-codon, which is responsible for specific mRNA codon recognition, and the 3' end, to which the tRNAs corresponding amino acid is attached (by aminoacyl-tRNA synthetases). tRNAs cope with the degeneracy of the genetic code in two manners: having more than one tRNA (with a specific anti-codon) for a particular amino acid; and 'wobble' base-pairing, i.e. permitting non-standard base-pairing at the 3rd anti-codon position. Lineage: Eukaryota; Metazoa; Chordata; Mammalia; Artiodactyla; Bovidae. RNAcentral also lists the same sequence under 1 other name. The record is from RNAcentral.
UCCCUGGUGGCUCAGAGGUUAAAGCAUCUGCCUGGAAUGCAGGAGAUCCGGGUUCGAUCCCUGGGUUGGGAA